UCUUCCUGUUCACUGAGGGGAGCCGCCACCGCCCCUACCCCUUCCAGAGCUCGUGCUCUUCCUCUCUUCCCCGACCCCCUCGCACCGCUGGCCGUCGGCCCCUUCCCCUUCCCCUCCCCUUCCACCCUAGCCGCCGCCGGCCUCUCCCCUUUCGCCCUAGCCGUCGCCCCCCAUCGCGAGACGGAGAACCAGCCCAUCCCCCUUUCCUCUCCAUGGUCCUCGGGAGAUGCAGCAACGGGGGCCGCCGCACCACGCCGAGACGGCCGUCCGCAGCAAGUCGGGAGCUGUGGUGUUGAAGAGGCGCCUGGAAGCAAGUGGCGACGCUGCUCCGGUCAGGGCACGAGGGUCUGUUCGCCGUCGUCGAGAAUCCACUCAAGCUCACGCAGACUACCACCGUCCUAGAGGGUUGGAUGCUACGUUUGAGACUUAGGGGGCGAGGCUGGGGAGGCUAAGGAGGAGACCAGAGAGCGGCGACCUCGAGUUGGAAGGAGCAAUGAUC
Triticum dicoccoides is the source of this 499-nucleotide long non-coding RNA. RefSeq lists it as uncharacterized. The record is from RefSeq and is a predicted model, not a curated record. Lineage: Eukaryota; Viridiplantae; Streptophyta; Magnoliopsida; Poales; Poaceae. The transcript has 3 exons.